UGUGGGAGCGAGCCUGCUCGCGAUGACGGCGUAUCAGCUUGCAUCCAGGGUGACUGAUCGGACGCUAUCGCGAGCAGGCUCGCUCCCACA
RNAcentral lists this unclassified non-coding RNA (90 nucleotides) under Pseudomonas mediterranea. Lineage: Bacteria; Pseudomonadati; Pseudomonadota; Gammaproteobacteria; Pseudomonadales; Pseudomonadaceae. The record is from RNAcentral.